UAGGGAAUCUUCGGCAAUGGGGGGAACCCUGACCGAGCAACGCCGCGUGAGUGAAGAAGGUUUUCGGAUCGUAAAGCUCUGUUGUUAAGGAAGAACGAGUGUGAGAAUGGAAAGUUCAUACUGUGACGGUACUUAACCAGAAAGGGACGGCUAACUACGUGCCAGCAGCCGCGGUAAUACGUAGGUCCCGAGCGUUGUCCGGAUUUAUUGGGCGUAAUGCGAGCGCAGGCGGUUAGAUAAGUCUGAAGUUAAAGGCAGUGGCUCAACCAUUGUAGGCUUUGGAAACUGUUUAACUUGAGUGCAGAAGGGGAGAGUGGAAUUCCAUGUGUAGCGGUGAAAUGCGUAGAUAUAUGGAGGAACACCGGUGGCGAAAGCGGCUCUCUGGUCUGUAACUGACGCUGAGGCUCGAAAGCGUGGGGAGCGAACAGG
Molecule: ribosomal RNA, 429 nt
Filed under: Bacteroidota bacterium
Lineage: Bacteria; Pseudomonadati; Bacteroidota
Description: Bacteroidetes bacterium partial 16S ribosomal RNA
Rfam family: Bacterial small subunit ribosomal RNA
Source: RNAcentral